GGAAGGUUGAGCUGCUGUUUAUCUGUUCCUAGAGAUGCUAGAAUUCUGGAGAAUUUUAUCUUUGAAAAUCUUUAAAAUGUUGCGUGAUGAGUUCCUGUAUGAUGAGAGUUUAAAUUCCUACCUCAGCCAUAUAUACAUGCUUGCUAGACUUUGAGCCACACAUUUAUUAUUUACUGCUUAUGAGCAUUGAGUGUAGUCAAGCUGUGUUGACCCUUAGGAGCUUGUCAUGUGGUUAAAUCAAGAUUUCACUUGCAUGUUCACUCAUAUAUGCUACUUCUACUCCGGAAGUACCAUCCACAUAUAUCCACCCAUUCCAUCUCCAGAAUCACCCAAAAAUAUUCUGCUCCUAAUCCGGGAGAGAAUAACCAAAAAUAUUUCUGUUUUCCCCUUGUGAAAUAAAUGCUCAAGUUAUCUUGUUACUACCACUUGCUAUAUUAUCUCAAGAGAUGAAUGCUCUAAGAAAAAAGAGAUACGAGGAAAUAAAAAGGAGCAAGUGCUCGGAACCUCGAAAGAAAAGAAAGAGUGAGACGAGAGGUAAAAAUGGACAAGUGUCUGACAGUAGAAUUAGGGGUGCAAGAUACCCACCUGAGAGAAAAGAAAAAGAAGAGCAUCUCAUUCUCCUCAUAAAGUUUCAAAGGCAAGGAAGGUAUGUAUCCCCUCAAAAGAGCAAAGUAGAAUUAGACUUCCACCACCAUUGUUAUCACCAGCAUCACCAUACACCAUUCAUUCGCCAC
This 734-nucleotide long non-coding RNA is filed under the name Sorghum bicolor (sorghum). RNAcentral's name for it is "long non-coding RNA (SBIC_LNC002931)". Lineage: Eukaryota; Viridiplantae; Streptophyta; Magnoliopsida; Poales; Poaceae. The record is from RNAcentral.